GCUGGAGUAGCUCAAUUGGCUUAAGCGUAUGACAUUUAAUCAUAAGAUCGGAGGUUCGACUCCUCCCUCCGGCA
RNAcentral lists this transfer RNA (74 nucleotides) under Corchorus olitorius. It matches the Rfam family "tRNA". From Rfam's summary of the family: Transfer RNA (tRNA) molecules are approximately 80 nucleotides in length. Their secondary structure includes four short double-helical elements and three loops (D, anti-codon, and T loops). The record is from Rfam by way of RNAcentral. Lineage: Eukaryota; Viridiplantae; Streptophyta; Magnoliopsida; Malvales; Malvaceae.